Molecule: ribosomal RNA, 492 nt
Filed under: uncultured bacterium
Lineage: Bacteria
Description: partial 16S ribosomal RNA
Rfam family: Bacterial small subunit ribosomal RNA
Source: RNAcentral
AGUGAACGCUGGCGGUAGGCCUAACACAUGCAAGUCGAACGGCAGCACAGUAAGAGCUUGCUCUUACGGGUGGCGAGUGGCGGACGGGUGAGGAAUACAUCGGAAUCUACUUUUUCGUGGGGGAUAACGUAGGGAAACUUACGCUAAUACCGCAUACGACCUACAGGUGAAAGCAGGGGAUCUUCGGACCUUGCGCGAUUGAAUGAGCCGAUGUCGGAUUAGCCAGUUGGCGGGGUAAAGGCCCACCAAGGCGACGAUCCGUAGCUGGUCUGAGAGGAUGAUCAGCCACACUGGAACUGAGACACGGUCCAGACUCCUACGGGAGGCAGCAGUGGGGAAUAUUGGACAAUGGGCGCAAGCCUGAUCCAGCCAUACCGCGUGGGUGAAGAAGGCCUUCGGGUUGUAAAGCCCUUUUGUUGGGAAAGAAAAGCAGCAGGUUAAUACCCCGCUGUUCUGACGGUACCCAAAGAAUAAGCACCGGCUAACUUCGUG